GACGAACGCUGGCGGCGUGCUUAACACAUGCAAGUCGAACGGAAAGGCCCUGCUUUUGUGGGGUGCUCGAGUGGCGAACGGGUGAGUAACACGUGAGUAACCUGCCCUUGACUUUGGGAUAACUUCAGGAAACUGGGGCUAAUACCGGAUAGGAGAUCCUGCUGCAUGGUGGGGGUUGGAAAGUUUCGGCUGUUUGGGAUGGACUAGCGGCUUACCAGCUUGUUGGUGGGGUAGUGGUUUACCAAGGCUUUGACGGGUAGCCGGCCUGGGAGGGUGACCGGGCACAAUGGGCCUGAGGGAGGCCGCAGUCUGCAACGGGAGGCAACAGGGGGAAACAUGGCACAGCGGGCGGGAGCCUGAGGCGGCGGCGCCGCGUGCGGAAUGCCGGCCUUCGGGUUGUAAACCGCUGUCGGCUGAGACGAGGCGUGAGUGACGGUAACGGGUAAAGAAGCACCGGCUAACUACGUG
RNAcentral lists this ribosomal RNA (468 nucleotides) under uncultured bacterium. Its description in RNAcentral is "partial 16S ribosomal RNA". It matches the Rfam family "Bacterial small subunit ribosomal RNA", at positions 28 to 507 of the family's 1533-position model. The record is from RNAcentral.